This 251-nucleotide ribosomal RNA is filed under the name uncultured bacterium. RNAcentral describes it as "partial 16S ribosomal RNA". It matches the Rfam family "Bacterial small subunit ribosomal RNA", at positions 525 to 775 of the family's 1533-position model. The record is from RNAcentral. RNAcentral also lists the same sequence under 1 other name.
ACGUAUGGUGCAAGCGUUAUCCGGAUUUACUGGGUGUAAAGGGAGCGUAGACGGCUGUGUAAGUCUGAAGUGAAAGCCCGGGGCUCAACCCCGGGACUGCUUUGGAAACUAUGCAGCUAGAGUGUCGGAGAGGUAAGUGGAAUUCCCAGUGUAGCGGUGAAAUGCGUAGAUAUUGGGAGGAACACCAGUGGCGAAGGCGGCUUACUGGACGAUGACUGACGUUGAGGCUCGAAAGCGUGGGGAGCAAACAG